Molecule: transfer RNA, 84 nt
Filed under: Smithella sp. F21
Lineage: Bacteria; Pseudomonadati; Thermodesulfobacteriota; Syntrophia; Syntrophales; Smithellaceae
Rfam family: tRNA
About the family: Transfer RNA (tRNA) molecules are approximately 80 nucleotides in length. Their secondary structure includes four short double-helical elements and three loops (D, anti-codon, and T loops). Further hydrogen bonds mediate the characteristic L-shaped molecular structure. tRNAs have two regions of fundamental functional importance: the anti-codon, which is responsible for specific mRNA codon recognition, and the 3' end, to which the tRNAs corresponding amino acid is attached (by aminoacyl-tRNA synthetases). tRNAs cope with the degeneracy of the genetic code in two manners: having more than one tRNA (with a specific anti-codon) for a particular amino acid; and 'wobble' base-pairing, i.e. permitting non-standard base-pairing at the 3rd anti-codon position.
Source: Rfam by way of RNAcentral
GCGAGAGUGGCGGAAUUGGCAGACGCACUGGACUUAGGAUCCAGCCCGCACGCGCGGUUAAGGGUUCAAGUCCCUUCUCUCGCA